UUUUCGUUUUUUCCGUGUCCAACGUUUGAUCAUUUGUCUUAUUUGAAAAUUUUAUAAAAAACUUUAAAAAAUUAGUCUAGUAUAAACUACUAUUUAUAUUUUAUCAUCUAGUAAAAUAAAAAUAUUAAUCGUAAAAAAAUUUCAAAUAGGACGAAUGGUCAAGCGUUAAACGCGGAAAAACGG
Molecule: non-coding RNA, 183 nt
Organism: Oryza brachyantha (malo sina)
Lineage: Eukaryota; Viridiplantae; Streptophyta; Magnoliopsida; Poales; Poaceae
Source: Rfam